UACGAAGGGGGCUAGCGUUGCUCGGAAUUACUGGGCGUAAAGGGAGCGUAGGCGGACAGUUUAGUCAGAGGUGAAAGCCCAGGGCUCAACCUUGGAAUUGCCUUUGAUACUGACUGUCUUGAGUAUGGGAGAGGUUAGCGGAACUCCGAGUGUAGAGGUGAAAUUCGUAGAUAUUCGGAAGAACACCAGUGGCGAAGGCGGCUAACUGGCCCAUUACUGACGCUGAGGCUCGAAAGCGUGGGGAGCAAACAGG
This 253-nucleotide non-coding RNA is filed under the name uncultured bacterium. RNAcentral describes it as "partial 16S ribosomal RNA". It matches the Rfam family "Bacterial small subunit ribosomal RNA", at positions 524 to 776 of the family's 1533-position model. RNAcentral also lists the same sequence under 1 other name. The record is from RNAcentral.